GUGUGGUCUCCAAUGUCAGUCUGCUACAGCAGCACCACAUCAUCCAUCAUUGUGGGACUGUACGGGAACGACAACAUCCUGGUGUUCAGAGUGGAAUAGUGUGUACAUUCGCUGCUGAGUCAGGACAACGAUGCUGAGGCUGUGGUGGACAAGAAUGACCUGAAUACGCAGAAGGAGAGCACCAGCAUUGGUAUCGAGUUGGCCUAGCAUCAGUACCAGUCCAGCAUGCAGGAGAUCCAGUCAAGGACGACCCUUCCCCUCCCCUGACCACUAACUCCUCACUUUUGACCUGCAGCCUCGAAGGAUCAGCAUCGUUGAACAAUUCUGUUCUGCAGAAAAUUCUCAGCACGUCAAGUUUUCACGGGCUGUUCUCAACAACCGCAAUGUCCUGGUCGAGUUUUCCACACUCAAGCCUGAGUAGUUUUGUUAAAUAUAAGCAGUAGAAAUGGUAAAACUAACAGCCAGUGUGCUUGCUCUGGGACAUCACAAAGAAUAUCACAGAAUACAAAGUUGAAUAACUUGUUCCAUUCAUUAUGGGACCAACAGAAAUUCAGCAAGAAACAGGGCAAAAAAUCAAGGAACAAUUGAAGCAAUUAAUUUAGAAGUGUAGGUUUUCCAAAGUAGAUACUUCUGCUGUUGAUAGUUUUGACAGUAAUAGCGUUACGGACGUCUCGGUUUGUCCUCUCAGGCGUGUAAACUGUCCAAAGAGAACACGCUUCUGACGCUUUUGCUGACGAAGAAUGGCAGUAAUGACUUGGCUGUGAACACCCAGAGCACAAUACAUCCUUGGGGCAUGCCUCAGACGCAAAUUCCGCUCCAGAUUAUAAACAAGGCGCAAAAUGUGAAUAUGUCUAGCUUUGUUACGAGCACUUCCCACUCCGAGCCCAUAGGCCUCGUAUUGAAUCGAGGCUGAGAAGGCAUUGACAAAUGACAGCAGUUGUGUUGUGUGGUCCAGUAUGCCCAUCGACUCUCAACCCGACGUUAAUCAGAACUCAAACUCGGCCCUUAGCAAUAUCAGCUCAGCUCCUUGAGCCUCAGGAGAGAACCAGCAUUGAUAUCGAGUUUGACCAGGAACAGCACCAGUUUGCCUGAAGAAUCCCCAGUCCAGGACGAUCCUUGCCCCCCCUGACCCCUAGCUCCUCCACCCUGACCUCUGGCCUCAAAGGGUCAUCAUAGUUGAAUUCAAGCGCUGUACUCAACAACUGCAAUGUCUGUGUCGAGUUUUCAACACUCAAGACUGAGUAGUUUUGUUGAGCUCGAGUGCCAGAGUGGGACAGACACAAUGAGUUAUAGAAGUAGUUAUGGUAACACUAACAGUCAGUUCUUGCCGUAUGACAUCACAACGAAUAUAACGAAGAAUAAAAAGUUGAUUAAUUUGUUCCAUUCUUUAUGGGACAAACAUAAAUUCAGCGAGGAUCGGGAAAAAAUCAAGGAAAUUUUUACAAUUGAAGCGAUUUAUUCACAUGAGUAAGCUUUCCAAGCAGAAUACUUUUGCUGUCUAUAGUUUGGACAGUAGUAGAUUUACAAACGCGCUUUUGAUGCUGUUGCUGACAAAGAAAGGCAGUAACUACUUCAUUGUGAACACCCAGAGCACGAUACACCCAUGGGGUUUGCCUAAAAUGUGAAUUCCGCCCAAUAUUGUAAACAAGGUGCUAAAAGUAAACACGUCCGGUUUUGUUACGAGCGCUUUGCACUCCAAGCCCAAAGCACAUAGAAUCAACGCCAGAAAAGGCUUAGAAAAUGACAGCAGUUUCGUUGUGUGAUCCAGUAAGGACUCUGAACGACAUUAAUGAGACCUCAAACUUGACCAUAGCACUCACAGCGAGGCCAUCAUGUUAUCUCAGCUUCUUGAGCUUCAGCAAACAUUAUUAGCCAACAAGAUGAAAACAUCAUUGAAGUGAAAGUCAAAGACAAUACUGACUUCCUUCGGGCACAAAUACUACAACUUGCUGAAGAAAUUCAGCACGAAGAUGUCUUGCGUCAGCCUAGCACGCCUCCUAUCAACUCUUCCAACAGCGGAGCCUUGAGCUAGUUCCUAGCAAUCAUAGAUCGGUACCCUGCUGAAAAACAGGAUCUCUGGUCAGCUGGGCCCAGAUGCCCAGCAACACUUCCUGGCCCAGGACCUUGGGGCAAAUGCUCAACAUGUCUUAUCUGCAUGGUGAAGCCAGUCUAAUUCUUGGGCUCCAAACUCUCCUGUUGUGGGGCCGAGAUUACCUCAUCCAUAAGAAUGCAAUGAAUUAUUUGGUUGACAGGGACACAUUACUAGGAUGCGCUAAGGUCCUUUUAUCUGUUCACAGAGGCCUUAUACUCACAAGUUCAGGCCCAACUACAACACAAUCAGUACGUCUCAAUAGAGGACACCCUUCCUGAAAACCUCGCUGAGUGCGACUGCGCCAUACGUGACCCUUCAGUGAAAUGAGAUUCCAGACGGAAUGUCAAACCUGUACUACUCAGGUCUCCAGCAAUAGCCUCAGCCUUGACCGCAGGUUCAUGAUGCAUCCAUGUUCUAACUUAUUUCUGAACAUCUCAAUCUCACAGCAAUUGAUGUGAAUUAAUGAUAAUAAGACUCCACAAACCAAGUUUUGGAGAGGGUAUAUUGGAGUCAAUUUUCUGUUAGUUAUUUUAUAGUCAAAGCGGCAUUUUUUGCAUUUAUUAUAUAAAGGUUUGUAUCAAAUCUAAAUUUCUCAAAGGAUUAAAUUUGAACUUAAAUUGUGUGAAACCGUUGAACAGUAAGUUAUAAGUGGUGAUUUUGUUGCAUGCAAAGCCCCAUCGUUUCAUUGGCCAAGUCACUCUUUUACCCCGUAUUAUUUUACUUUCAGUAUCUCACCAUACAUGGGAAAUCAGAAGUUAUGAAACUUAUAUUCUAAUCAGGGUUUUAACUAACAUUUUGCCCACAGUUGCGCUGUAACCUAUAUGCAAUUCUGGGUUAUAACUAACAUUGUGUCCACAGUUGCGCAAAGUUGUUUGAAUAGUAGUGUCUAAAAACCAAUUAUAUAAGGAAUAGUCACUUGCAUCCCUUGUAAUCAAUCAUGUUCAUGAAGGAGCCAUUGUGAAAUAUUAUGUUGCAUUUUGACAAAUUACCAAGCAUAUGUCUUUUAGCUUAUCUUGUUAAGUGUUUGGCAGUACCAAGCCAUGUCGAAGCAGCAGCAAAAACAAAAGUAGCAGUCUAGUAAGCUGUCUUACACGUUUGAGCUACCUAGUUGUUGCAGCUUUCAGCAACGUUGUCACAAUAUGGAUUGUUUUAAUAAAACCUAAUGGAGUUAUAGAGCAUAAUUACUGAUUCUCGUGUAAGAUCGUACUUUUAUAAUGCACUUUCAUCAACAACACUGAUGCAUAUGCAUGACAUCUAAUACAAGUAUUAAUGCACAAACUAAAGUAUGAAUUUCUUGAUAAUUUAAUUUAUUCGCAAACAUUAGUUUCAAAACAUAAUUAAGCAUAUCGAUAUUUUUUACUUUGCUUUAAUUUAUUGUUUGAUUUUUAUCACUUUGCCUCUCUUUUCCUAACCAGGUCAAGGGUCACCCCGCAAUGUUUAGUGCCUAGCGAUGAAAUCAUCCACUGUUACAUGUAGUUGGUCAGUAAAAUGAGUGUUUUGUCUGCAUAUAAUGUAAAAAGAUUUUAUCAAACAACAUCUACAUUUCUCACAGGAUUAAAUUGAUACUUUAGUUGUUUGAUCCCCAUGAAGUCUUGCUUUGAUUGGUAGAUGGUCAUCUUGUGACAAAGCCCUAAAUUAUCAUUGGCCAAGUCACUUUUGAACAAGAUCAAAUUAAUAACACUGUAUCUCACCACACAUGGGAAUUCAGAGGCUGUGUAACUUAUAUUCUAUUCAGGGUUAAUAACUAACAUUGUGCCCACAGUUGUGUAAAGUUGUGUGAAUACGGUCUGUUGCAAAGUCCACUCAACAUGGAUUGUUUUAAUAAAACAAAUGGAGUUAAAGAACAUAUUUGCUGAUUCCUGUGUAUGAUCUUAAUUGUAUAUAAAACAAUACAUGAACAACACUGACGCAUAUGAAAGG
Molecule: long non-coding RNA, 4012 nt
Organism: Dreissena polymorpha
Lineage: Eukaryota; Metazoa; Mollusca; Bivalvia; Myida; Dreissenidae
Exons: 8
Source: RefSeq, a predicted model, not a curated record